This 406-nucleotide ribosomal RNA is filed under the name uncultured bacterium. RNAcentral's name for it is "partial 16S ribosomal RNA". It matches the Rfam family "Bacterial small subunit ribosomal RNA", at positions 29 to 526 of the family's 1533-position model. The record is from RNAcentral.
AUUGAACGCUGGCGGCAGGCCUAACACAUGCAAGUCGAACGAGGGGCGGAGGGGUGAGAAAUGUCUGGAAAAGUGCGAGAGGGAGGGGGAUCACUACGGGAAAGGGUAGCUAAUACCGCAAACCAUCGGAUGUGCCCAGAUGGGAGUAGCUAGUAGGUGGGGUAACGGCUCACCUAGGAGAAGAGCCCUAGCUGGUCUGAGAGGAUGACCAGCCACACUGGAACUGAGACACGGUCCAGACUCCUACGGGAGGCAGCAGUGGGGAAUAUUGCACAAUGGGCGCAAGCCUGAUGCAGCCAUGCCGCGUGUAUGAAGAAGGCCUUCGGGUUGUAAAGUACUUUCAGCGGGGAGGCGUUACCCGCAGAAGAAGCACCGGCUAACUCCGUGCCAGCAGCCGCGGUAAUUC